UCUCACUGAAAGAAGAAAAAGGCCGAAGU
Molecule: non-coding RNA, 29 nt
Filed under: Mus musculus (house mouse)
Lineage: Eukaryota; Metazoa; Chordata; Mammalia; Rodentia; Muridae
Source: RNAcentral